UGAAGUUGAUACCAGCAGAAUAGUGCCUAUGCGAAAGACAUCUUAAAACUUGGACAAAUUCUUCUAGACAUUAAUUGUGUUCGAUUUUAAAAUCGUUAUAGAGACUGUUAAUUUUUAAUUUUAUCAUAGCAAUCCCAAGAGACAAUAAUUGCCCUCAUAUUUUUCCGUUUCAUAUAUGGACAGUUAAAGAAAUAUUUCAAUUUAAUGCAAAGAUAUACUUUUGCGGCCCCCAGUAUGUUGAGAAUAUAAUGCAAACGUUAACGUUAUGUUUCCCGUAUUUACGUCUUAUGUUUAUGACGUUACUUUGUACCCUUGGUAUGGGGCCUUCGAUAUAGAGUUUGAGCAUAAAAGUAACACAACGCA
Molecule: long non-coding RNA, 363 nt
Filed under: Mytilus galloprovincialis (Mediterranean mussel)
Lineage: Eukaryota; Metazoa; Mollusca; Bivalvia; Mytilida; Mytilidae
Source: RNAcentral